Non-coding RNA from Trichonephila clavipes, 74 nucleotides. Lineage: Eukaryota; Metazoa; Arthropoda; Arachnida; Araneae; Nephilidae. The record is from the annotation of a GenBank genome assembly.
GGUUCCGUAGUGUAGUGGUUAUCACGUUUGCUUCACACGCGAAAAGGUCUCCGGUUCGAUUCCGCACGGAACCA